RNAcentral lists this unclassified non-coding RNA (345 nucleotides) under soil metagenome. Its description in RNAcentral is "partial contains 5.8S ribosomal RNA, internal transcribed spacer 2, and large subunit ribosomal RNA". The stretch from base 1 to 120 matches the Rfam family "5.8S ribosomal RNA", at positions 35 to 154 of the family's 154-position model. The record is from RNAcentral.
GAUGAAGAACGCAGCGAAAUGCGAUACGUAAUGUGAAUUGCAGAAUUCAGUGAAUCGUCGAGUCUUUGAACGCACAUUGCGCCCCCUGGUAUUCCGGGGGGCAUGCCUGUCCGAGCGUCAUUGCUGCCCUCAAGCACGGCUUGUGUGUUGGGCCUCCGUCCUCCUCCCGGGGGACGGGCCCGAAAGGCAGCGGCGGCACCGCGUCCGGUCCUCGAGCGUAUGGGGCUUCGUCACCCGCUCUUGUAGGCCCGGCCGGCGCUUGCCGACACAUCAAUCUUUUUUCCAGGUUGACCUCGGAUCAGGUAGGGAUACCCGCUGAACUUAAGCAUAUCAAUAAGCGGAGGA